This 253-nucleotide ribosomal RNA is filed under the name uncultured bacterium. RNAcentral describes it as "partial 16S ribosomal RNA". It matches the Rfam family "Bacterial small subunit ribosomal RNA", at positions 524 to 776 of the family's 1533-position model. The record is from RNAcentral.
UACGAAGGGGCUAGCGUUGUUCGGAAUCACUGGGCGUAAAGCGCACGUAGGCGGAUUUUUAAGUCAGGGGUGAAAUCCCGAGGCUCAACCUCGGAACUGCCUUUGAUACUGGAGAUCUUGAGUCCGGAAGAGGUAAGUGGAACUGCGAGUGUAGAGGUGAAAUUCGUAGAUAAUUCGCAAGAACACCAGUGGCGAAGGCGGCUUACUGGUCCGGAACUGACGCUGAGGUGCGAAAGCGUGGGGAGCAAACAGG